This is a long non-coding RNA of Anguilla anguilla (European eel), 704 nucleotides long. RefSeq lists it as uncharacterized. The record is from RefSeq and is a predicted model, not a curated record. The transcript is spliced from 2 exons. Lineage: Eukaryota; Metazoa; Chordata; Actinopteri; Anguilliformes; Anguillidae.
AUUUUUUCUACACUAAUACUUUUAUUCUUCAGCAAUAACACAAAUCAUUGCAAUAGGAAAAAGGGACAUCCUGAAUAAUCAUGGACCGCAAUAUAACCAGUUCAUGUUUUUUAAGGCAUUGUUGACAAAAUAAUGAUGACAAUUUCUUGGCUGUGAUCUGUGCACUGCGAGCAGCAAGUUGCAACUGCUGAUCUGGCGAUCCAUCACACCUGGGCAGAUCUGGCACCUCUGUCCUGUUUGGACUGGCCCUCUGGCUCAUCCCUCAUCAUGCAGCCCGGGGGGGGGGGGGCUGUGUGCUGAAGAUUGUUUAGGAAACAUCCAAGAGAUUGUGCCACAGUACCAAGAACCACCUCCUUGUUUGCCUUUUGCACAUGUAAGAUAACUUGAAUCAUGGAUUAUGAGAAUCGCUACACCCCUAAUUAUGAGGUGAUUUUUUUAUUUUUUAGAUAAAAUGAAACUUACAUACAUCAGGUGUGUCAGGCAGUCCUCCACAGUUAUGAGAUUUCAGGAACGUAUGGUGAUGCCGCAGUAAAUAUGUUCCGGACUAUACAAACCUGACAGGAGUCAAAGGUGGUACAGUAUAACCCAUGUUAUGUAAUCUAGUGGGAGUAUUAGAAAAACUCCACUUAAAAAAAGUAAGAAAGCAGUAACUAAAUCAAUGAUGUGUGAAUAUCAGACACAAUAAAUUUGAUUAAUAUCUGGAA